AUAGUGCCUGUGAUGGCUUUAAAUAUACUAUGAGUAACCACAAAGAUUAAAAUUUUAUCUGAGGCACAAA
Musa acuminata AAA Group (dessert banana) is the source of this 70-nucleotide small nucleolar RNA. Lineage: Eukaryota; Viridiplantae; Streptophyta; Magnoliopsida; Zingiberales; Musaceae. The record is from RefSeq and is a predicted model, not a curated record.